CGCGCAAAGAGUGGCCCAAGUGAGAUUAGCUAGUUGGUGAGGUAAAGGCUCACCAAGGCGACGAUCUCUAGCUGUUCUGAGAGGAAGAUCAGCCACACUGGGACUGAGACACGGCCCAGACUCCUACGGGAGGCAGCAGUGGGGAAUAUUGCACAAUGGGGGGAACCCUGAUGCAGCCAUGCCGCGUGUGUGAAGAAGGCCUUCGGGUUGUAAAGCACUUUCAGUUGCGAGGAAAGCANUAUUUGCUAAUACCAAAUAUUGUGUGACGUUAACAACAGAAGAAGCACCGGCUAACUCCGUGCCAGCAGCCGCGGUAAUACGGAGGGUGCGAGCGUUAAUCGGAAUUACUGGGCGUAAAGCGCACGCAGGCGGAAUGUUAAGCUAGAAGUGAAAGCCCUGGGCUCAACCUGGGAAGGCCUUUUAGAACUGGCAUUCUAGAGUUUUGGAGAGGGGAGUGGAAUUCCACGUGUAGCGGUGAAAUGCGUAGAUAUGUGGAGGAACAUCAGUGGCGAAGGCGACUCUCUGGCCAAAGACUGACGCUCAUGUGCGAAAGUGUGGGUAGCGAACAGGAUUAGAUACCCUGGUAGUCCACACCGUAAACGCUGUCUACUAGCUGUGUGUGAUUNUUAAAUUNGUGCGUAGCGAAGCAAACGCGCUAAGUAGACCGCCUGGGGAGUACGGCCGCGAGGUUAAAACUCAAAUGAAUUGACGGGGGCCCGCACAAGCGGUGGAGCAUGUGGUUUAAUUCGAUGCAACGCGAAGAACCUUACCAGGACUUGACAUCCA
This 786-nucleotide ribosomal RNA is filed under the name uncultured Alteromonadaceae bacterium. RNAcentral describes it as "bacterial SSU rRNA". It matches the Rfam family "Bacterial small subunit ribosomal RNA", at positions 216 to 990 of the family's 1533-position model. The record is from RNAcentral. Lineage: Bacteria; Pseudomonadati; Pseudomonadota; Gammaproteobacteria; Alteromonadales; Alteromonadaceae.